UGAGGAAUAUUGGUCAAUGGACGCAAGUCUGAACCAGCCAAGUAGCGUGCAGGAUGACGGCCCUAUGGGUUGUAAACUGCUUUUAUAUGGGGAUAAAGUGGGGAACGUGUUCCCUUUUGCAGGUACCAUAUGAAUAAGGACCGGCUAAUUCCGUGCCAGCAGCCGCGGUAAUACGGAAGGUUCGGGCGUUAUCCGGAUUUAUUGGGUUUAAAGGGAGCGUAGGCCGUUUGGUAAGCGUGUUGUGAAAUGUAGGAGCUCAACUUCUAGAUUGCAGCGCGAACUGGCAGACUUGAGUGCGCACAACGUAGGCGGAAUUCAUGGUGUAGCGGUGAAAUGCUUAGAUAUCAUGACGAACUCCGAUUGCGAAGGCAGCUUACGGGAGCGCAACUGACGCUAAAGCUCGAAGGUGCGGGUAUCGAACAGG
This 424-nucleotide ribosomal RNA is filed under the name Verrucomicrobiota bacterium. RNAcentral's name for it is "Verrucomicrobia bacterium partial 16S ribosomal RNA". It matches the Rfam family "Bacterial small subunit ribosomal RNA", at positions 355 to 776 of the family's 1533-position model. The record is from RNAcentral. Lineage: Bacteria; Pseudomonadati; Verrucomicrobiota.